UUUCCGUAGGUGAACCUGCGGAAGGAUCAUUAUUGUAUAACCGAGGUGCGAGGGCUGUCGCUGACCCGAAAGGUCGUGCACGCCCGAGUGCCCUCACCCACAUCCAUCUCACCCCUAUGUGCACCACCGCGUGGGUCCCCCUUUGGCUUGUUCGGAGGGGGGCUUACGUUUUCACACAAACUUUGUAUGCAGUGUAGAAUGUAUUUUUUGUUUUUGCGAUCACGCAAUCAAUACAACUUUCAACAACGGAUCUCUUGGCUCUC
RNAcentral lists this unclassified non-coding RNA (263 nucleotides) under plant metagenome. RNAcentral describes it as "partial contains small subunit ribosomal RNA, internal transcribed spacer 1, and 5.8S ribosomal RNA". The record is from RNAcentral.